GGGCAUUCGGAACACUUGCACUCUGGGCUACUGACUGAGAACUUGCUUCUCCCCUCCCGCCCAGGGGAAAGUCCCCGGACCCGAGGCAGAAAGUGCCCUGGCUAGAUCCAGCGUCGGCCAGCGCUGCACCGCAACGGGCUGAGACGCUCCUGUGAGCCGAGCUCGGUCAUUGCUGGUUGACUUUGUCAGUUAAAUAGUAAUGCAAGUAAGCAGCUACUUAACAGAACGGGGCUCAUUCUCGGAAUGCA
RNAcentral lists this RNase MRP RNA (248 nucleotides) under Acanthochromis polyacanthus (spiny chromis). RNAcentral's name for it is "RNase MRP (ENSAPOG00000016687.1)". It matches the Rfam family "RNase MRP". From Rfam's summary of the family: RNase MRP is an enzymatically active ribonucleoprotein with two distinct roles in eukaryotes. In mitochondria it plays a direct role in the initiation of mitochondrial DNA replication. Lineage: Eukaryota; Metazoa; Chordata; Actinopteri; Pomacentridae. The record is from Rfam by way of RNAcentral.